AAGACUAUAGACCUGCGGAGUACCUGCGGAAGGAUCAUUGCUGAUUAUCACUUGAUGGGUUGUAGCUGGCUCCUUGGAGCAUGUGCACACCUGUCUGAUCUUAUUCAUCCACCUGUGCACUUCUGUAGAUCUUGGAUUCACUGUCAAUUGUUACUUCUUGUAGCAGUAUGAGGAAUGCAUUUGGAAUAUACAUCUGCUCUCCUUGUUAAGUGUCUCUCUCAAGGUCUAUGUUACUUUUCA
RNAcentral lists this unclassified non-coding RNA (240 nucleotides) under soil metagenome. RNAcentral describes it as "partial contains 5.8S ribosomal RNA, internal transcribed spacer 2, and large subunit ribosomal RNA". The record is from RNAcentral.